RNAcentral lists this ribosomal RNA (1375 nucleotides) under Candidatus Phytoplasma phoenicium. RNAcentral's name for it is "bacterial SSU rRNA". It matches the Rfam family "Bacterial small subunit ribosomal RNA", at positions 134 to 1501 of the family's 1533-position model. Lineage: Bacteria; Bacillati; Mycoplasmatota; Mollicutes; Acholeplasmatales; Acholeplasmataceae. The record is from RNAcentral.
AAGACGAGGAUAACAAUUGGAAACAGUUGCUAAGACUGGAUAGGAAAUUAAAAGGCAUCUUUUAAUUUUUAAAAGACCUUUUUCGGAAGGUAUGCUUAAAGAGGGGCUUGCGCCACAUUAGUUAGUUGGUAAGGUAAAGGCUUACCAAGACGAUGAUGUGUAGCUGGACUGAGAGGUUGAACAGCCACAUUGGGACUGAGACACGGCCCAAACUCCUACGGGAGGCAGCAGUAAGGAAUUUUUGGCAAUGGAGGAAACUCUGACCGAGCGACGCCGCGUGAACAAUGAAGUACUUCGGUAUGUAAAGUUCUUUUAUUGAAAAAGAAAAAAUAGUGGAAAAACUAUCUUGACAUUAUUCAAUGAAUAAGCCCCGGCUAAUUAUGUGCCAGCAGCCGCGGUAAUACAUAAGGGGCGAGCGUUAUCCGGAAUUAUUGGGCGUAAAGGGUGCGUAGGCGGUUUGAUAAGUCUAUAGUUUAAUUGCAGUGCUUAACGCUGUACCGCUAUAGAAACUGUCUGACUAGAGUUAGAUAGAGGCAAGCGGAAUUCCAUGUGUAGCGGUAAAAUGCGUAAAUAUAUGGAGGAACACCAGAGGCGUAGGCGGCUUGCUGGGUCUUAACUGACGCUGAGGCACGAAAGCGUGGGGAGCAAACAGGAUUAGAUACCCUGGUAGUCCACGCCGUAAACGAUGAGUACUAAGUGUCGGGUUUUGGCUCGGUACUGAAGUUAACACAUUAAGUACUCCGCCUGAGUAGUACGUACGCAAGUAUGAAACUUAAAGGAAUUGACGGGACCCCGCACAAGCGGUGGAUCAUGUUGUUUAAUUCGAAGAUACACGAAAAACCUUACCAGGUCUUGACAUAAUUUUGCGACAUUAUAGAAAUAUAAUGAAGGUUAUCAGAAUUACAGGUGGUGCAUGGUUGUCGUCAGCUCGUGUCGUGAGAUGUUAGGUUAAGUCCUAAAACGAGCGCAACCCUUGUCGUUAGUUGCGACCACAUAAUGGUGAGCACUUUAGCGAGACUGCCAAUGAAAAAUUGGAGGAAGGUGAGGAUUACGUCAAAUCAUCAUGCCCCUUAUGAUCUGGGCUACAAACGUGAUACAAUGGCUUUUACAAAGAGUAGCUACAACGUGAGUUUUUAGCCAAUCUCAAAAAAACAGUCUCAGUUCGGAUUGAAGUCUGCAACUCGACUUCAUGAAGUUGGAAUCGCUAGUAAUCGCGAAUCAGCAUGUCGCGGUGAAUACGUUCUCGGGGUUUGUACACACCGCCCGUCAAACCACGAAAGUUGAUAAUACCCAAAACCGGUCGCCUAACUUCGUCAGAAGAGGGAGCCGUCUAAGGUAGGGUCGAUGAUUGGGGUUAAGUCGUAACAAGGUAUCC